RNAcentral lists this ribosomal RNA (229 nucleotides) under uncultured bacterium. RNAcentral's name for it is "partial 16S ribosomal RNA". It matches the Rfam family "Bacterial small subunit ribosomal RNA", at positions 568 to 796 of the family's 1533-position model. The record is from RNAcentral.
UGCGUAGGCGGAUUGUUAAGUCAGUGGUGAAAGUCUAUGGCUCAACCGUAGAAGUGCCAUUGAUACUGGCAGUCUUGAGUACAGUAGAGGUAGGCGGAAUUUAUGGUGUAGCGGUGAAAUGCAUAGAUACCAUAAAGAACACCUAUAGCGAAGGCAGCUUACUAUGCUGUAACUGACGCUGAGGCACGAAAGCGUGGGGAGCGAACAGGAUUAGAUACCCUGGUAGUCC